GUUUUACCUCCUGGCUUACCUCCUGGCUUUCUUGCUUUAGUUAGGCCAGCCUUCGCUUUCAUCUAUCAGAAGAGCUCUCUUUUUAUCACUGGACCCUUGCAAUCACUUGCACUCAGGCAGCAGGAGUUACCCCCACCUUCAGAGAACCAGCCUACCACUGCUGCUUUCCCAGCAGUUUCUGGGGAAGAGGUCUUUAUGUCAACAGAACCUAUGGAGACCAGUGCCCACAGAUUGGAGUAACUAGGUCUGUGUGGCAGCCGUGAAAGUGCCUGGCUCACAUCUCCUUUCAAGAGAACCUGCUGUGAGGAGAGAAUUGGCUGAUAGGUCCCAGCUGCUGCACCUCAGUCUGCUAUGAGCAAACGCAAUGAGCUGGGUAACUUGUGACACAUGUUCACCUAUGGAGGACCAAACACUCGAUGGAGCUGGGUUUUCAGCUCAGCCCCACCACCUCUUUGGCGCUGCUGGUACUCUCGGAUCUCACCAAACUUGUUGCGGUAAGCAGAGAGAAGACGCUCCAAGGGGUCCCGCACAAACAGGAACUUGAAGUAGUGCUGGAGGCGGUAGCGAAUCUCGUCAGGCCGCAGGUCGGCCAGGAACACCAGGUCGCUGCGGUGGUCCAUCUUGAGGCGGACGUCCACGUUGUCCAGGACUCCCGCCAGCACCUUCAGAACCCGCUUCCAGUUGGAGCAGGCCACCUUGGGCACAUAGCAGUAGAGGAAGCGGUAGCGGUCACUCACGAGGAUGUGGCGCAGCAGGGUGCGCCGCUGCCCCACCGGCAAGUCCCAGGGGUCCCGGGGCAUGCCCGGUUGUCCGCACACUGCCCGCAAGGUCCGGUUCCGGACGUCCUGCCUCACCUGCAGGUCCGAGUUCCCCGCAUCCAGGGACAGCCUCCCAGGCCUGGGGACUGUCCCGCGCCAGACCGCGUCCUCGCGAUUGGGAGGGUGCAGGGGAAGGGGCUUCAUCUCGGCCAGGAUGCCCCGCUCGAUCAUGAGCAGCAGCCCGCUGGAAGCCACGAUCACCGCGAACAUCAGCAUGGACGGCAGCAGGAGGGGCGGCCCGCCCAGCCCAGGCCGGGCCCUGCCCAGGGGCGCCCGCCUCAGCGCCCGGCCCAGGGGCUCGGCGCCUUCUGGGGCCGCCAGCGGGGUCAGCGGGCGGGGGAACAUUGUGC
Molecule: long non-coding RNA, 1168 nt
Organism: Bos taurus (domestic cattle)
Lineage: Eukaryota; Metazoa; Chordata; Mammalia; Artiodactyla; Bovidae
Gene: CHST14
Product: carbohydrate sulfotransferase 14
Source: Ensembl